GGAAUCCAUACAGAAACAGAAUUAUCAGGAGGCAGUAACUCAAAUGCAUCUGAGUUUUUCUCAACUUUUUUCAGGUACAUAUCACAUCCAAGUUUAUUUUCGACCACCACCAUCCGAAAAUCAUCAUCAUCAAGUGCCACAAAACUAGUAUUAUCUUGAUGUGCAUCCCCACGACGAGCUUCCUUCAUCUUAAUCGCUUUCUUCUCUAGUUCUCUCUGCUU
RNAcentral lists this unclassified non-coding RNA (221 nucleotides) under Hevea brasiliensis (rubber tree). The record is from RNAcentral. Lineage: Eukaryota; Viridiplantae; Streptophyta; Magnoliopsida; Malpighiales; Euphorbiaceae.